RNAcentral lists this unclassified non-coding RNA (337 nucleotides) under soil metagenome. RNAcentral's name for it is "partial contains 5.8S ribosomal RNA, internal transcribed spacer 2, and large subunit ribosomal RNA". The stretch from base 1 to 120 matches the Rfam family "5.8S ribosomal RNA", at positions 35 to 154 of the family's 154-position model. The record is from RNAcentral.
GAUGAAGAACGCAGCGAAAUGCGAUAAGUAAUGUGAAUUGCAGAAUUCAGUGAAUCAUCGAAUCUUUGAACGCACAUUGCGCCCGCCAGUAUUCUGGCGGGCAUGCCUGUUCGAGCGUCAUUUCAACCAUCAAGCCCCAGGCUUGUGUUGGGGACCUGCGGCUGCCGCAGGCCCUGAAAACCAGUGGCGGGCUCGCUGUCACACCGGGCGUAGUAGAUUUUAUCUCGCUCAGGGCGUGCUGCGGGUUCCGGCCGUUAAAAAGCCUUUUUUACCCAAGGUUGACCUCGGAUCAGGUAGGAAGACCCGCUGAACUUAAGCAUAUCCAAUAAGCGGAGGA